AAGAGAAGAAAUAGCCAUGUAGCUAUGACUUGCUAUUGCCAGUAAAUAAUUUUGAGCUGCUAAAUGGCAACUGUGCUGGCUCAUAAAUACAAGCGCCAACUAGAGCUCCAACCGAGCUGGCCGAGAAUUUAUUGGCAACACUUAAUCUAAGCUGUCAAUGUGGAUGCAACAGUAGCAGUACCAGCUCCAAAUAACAACAACAACAGUAAUUGGGGGAAACUAUCGUAAUUGUCGGGGAUUACGGAAAAAAACGUAAAAGUGCAGAACGGCACGUGAAUGCGGCCGUUACGUUCAGAAUUGGCCAAAGUGAAGAAGUCGUAAAGUUUUAGUUGCAUUCCGGCUUCUUGGCCCUCGAAUGAGACGCUUAAUUUAUGUUUCAAUUCCAAUUAGCCAACGAGGCGCUGGCUUUUAUGCUACUUUUCAUUUGUUUCGCUCUCAUAUGCACUGGAAAAAAGGAUGAGGAGGAGGAGUCAGGGGUCGUGGGAGAGCCACGUUUAUUAGCCAUGGCCAAAUGCAGCUAAUUGAAGUUCAAAUUGCGUUGGCGCAAGAGUCGAAGAGUCGAAGAAAGACGGCCAAAGGCGUCGAAAGGCCAGGGAAAAGGAAACCGUUGAAAUGUAAGCACUCACAUGUGAUUCCUGUCAGUUCAAUAAAUCGUUAAGUCAGACGACAACGCAGACGUAAACGAAGACGAAUCCACUUAAGACCACCACACAAUCGGCUAAGAAAAGCAGGGCCGAUAGCCAGGGAAAUAAAAUCAAGCAUAAAUGCAAUAAUACAAUUUAUGUGCCAAAUUUCAUGAGGACCAUAAUGGACACACCCAUGCACACCUUCUGUCCUUCUGCCAUGAUUUCUUCAGCACAUAUACGGAACCAACAAAGGUGACUUUCUGAAGUUCUCCUCGCAAUCGAUGUAAUCGUAAUCACAUUUGGCGCCGAGAUGUUGAUGCCAUUUGAUAUUUACGAGUGUGUGUCCAUUUUCGUUGGGCUGAACUUUUCCAGCACCGUCACUCCGGUCGAGGCAACAAUGUCCCAACACUUGGCCGAGUCCCAUCCACCUCUCGGCCCUUCUAUCAUCAUCCCCCAUCCUCGUACUGGGCCAGUCUCCUUUGGCAAGUUAACAACAUUUGCUUGACGUUUGCCAAUUGCAUUAUGACUCAAUUGUGAGUUGAACGAUUUUAUGGACGAGCUGCAGAAUCAGAAUCGGAAUCAGACACAGAGAGGCAACUUCAAGUCGAGUGUUGGUCCAUUGAGAAUGAAACGGAAACGGAAACGGAAACGGAAACAGAGUCUCUUGCCGGAUAACUCUUAUUGUGGCUUCAAAAUGAGUGGGUGUAUUGCAACAUCUGUGACAAUGUCUAGUUAGAAAAUGUAACCCUUCAAAGUUUGAGAUUUUAGCUUUAAGAUUUUUUAUAUUUUUUAAGUUAUAAUAAGCUUAACCUUAAACCUUUAACCAAAAGUCAUAGAGUCUUCUGAAGAGUCACUUUACUUUAUUGGUGCGAAAGCCAGAAAUAAACUCACAAU
RNAcentral lists this small RNA (1520 nucleotides) under Drosophila ananassae. RNAcentral describes it as "GF28182". The record is from RNAcentral. Lineage: Eukaryota; Metazoa; Arthropoda; Insecta; Diptera; Drosophilidae.